Molecule: ribosomal RNA, 221 nt
Filed under: uncultured bacterium
Lineage: Bacteria
Description: partial 16S ribosomal RNA
Rfam family: Bacterial small subunit ribosomal RNA
Source: RNAcentral
UACGUAGGGACCGAGCGUUGUCCGGAUUUAUUGGGCGUAAAGCGCUCGCAGGUGGCCCGUCGCGUCGUGCGUGAAAGACCCCGGCUCAACCGGGGGGUGUCGUGCGAUACGGGCGGGCUGGAGGCCAGUAGGGGGAUGCGGGAAUUCCGGGUGUAGCGGUGGAAUGCGUAGAGAUCCGGAAGAACACCGGUGGCGAAGGCGGCCGCUGGGCAGGUGGCUGA